Molecule: RNase P RNA, 376 nt
Filed under: Schumannella sp. 10F1B-5-1
Lineage: Bacteria; Bacillati; Actinomycetota; Actinomycetes; Micrococcales; Microbacteriaceae
Description: Bacterial RNase P class A
Rfam family: Bacterial RNase P class A
About the family: Ribonuclease P (RNase P) is a ubiquitous endoribonuclease, found in archaea, bacteria and eukarya as well as chloroplasts and mitochondria. Its best characterised activity is the generation of mature 5'-ends of tRNAs by cleaving the 5'-leader elements of precursor-tRNAs.
Source: Rfam by way of RNAcentral
ACGGGCCGGCAGACGGUCGCGUCACCUCCGCGAGGGGGUGCCGAGGAACGUCCGGGCUCCACAGAGCAGGGCGGUGGGCAACACCCACCCGGGGUGACCCGCGAGAAAGUGCAACAGAGAGCAGACCGCCUCGGACCGGCUCCUUCGGGAACCGGACCGCGGUAAGGGUGAAACGGUGGUGUAAGAGACCACCAGGGGCCCGAGCGAUCGGGCUCGCUGGGUAAACCUCGCCCGGAGCAAGGUCAGACAGACACCGAUGAAGCGGCUCGCCGAGGUGUCGGGUAGACCGCUGGAGGGCUGCGGCGACGCAGCCCCGAGAUAGAUGGCCGUCACGGAGAGAUCCGUACAGAACCCGGCGUAUCGCCGGCCCGUUCCU